CCAGACUCCUACGGGAGGCAGCAGUGAGGGCUCUUGGUCAAUGGGGGCCCCCCUGAACCCGCCACGCCGCGUGCGGGCAGACGGUUUUCGGAUUGUAAACCUCUGUCCUCUGUGAAGAUAAUGACGGUCGCCGAGGAGGAAGCUCCGGCUAACUACGUGCCAGCAGCCGCGGUAAUACGUAGGGAGCAAGCGUUGUCCGGAUUUACUGGGUGUAAAGGGUGCGUAGGCGGCUUUGCAAGUCAGAAGUGAAAUCCAUGGGCUUAACCCAUGAACUGCUUUUGAAACUGCAGAGCUUGAGUGGAGUAGAGGUAGGCGGAAUUCCCGGUGUAGCGGUGAAAUGCGGAGAGAUCGGGAGGAACACCAGUGGCGAAGGCGGCCUGCUGGACCGUAACUGACGUUGAGGCUCGAAAGCGUGGGUAGCAAACAGGAUUAGAUACCCUUGUAGU
Molecule: ribosomal RNA, 446 nt
Filed under: uncultured bacterium
Lineage: Bacteria
Description: bacterial SSU rRNA
Rfam family: Bacterial small subunit ribosomal RNA
Source: RNAcentral